AAAAAGACAAACCUUUGGUUUUCGUGUACAACGUUUGACUGUCCGUGUUAUAUGAAAAUUUUUUAUAAUUAGUAUUUUUAUUGUUGUUAGAUGAUAAAACAUGAUUAAUACUUUAUGCGUGACUUGUCUUUUUAUUUUUUUUUCAUAAUUUUUUUAAACAAGACGGACGGUCAAAUGUUAGACAUGGAAACCCAGGGUUUGUCUUUUU
Molecule: microRNA precursor, 208 nt
Organism: Oryza sativa Japonica Group (Japanese rice)
Lineage: Eukaryota; Viridiplantae; Streptophyta; Magnoliopsida; Poales; Poaceae
Rfam family: MIR812 microRNA precursor family
Source: Rfam